AAUUCAGUUGAAUGAAAUAGCAUCAAAAAUGCUUAAAGUAUGUCGAUUCAAAGAGAAAAAUGUUGUUCUUGCAUCGUACGUGAGAUAUGAAUGUUGUUAUAAUAAGCAUUCCCCCUUAAGUGU
Molecule: long non-coding RNA, 123 nt
Organism: Rhagoletis zephyria (snowberry fruit fly)
Lineage: Eukaryota; Metazoa; Arthropoda; Insecta; Diptera; Tephritidae
Source: RefSeq, a predicted model, not a curated record